CCCUUAGAUGUUCUGGGCCGCACGCGCGCUACAAUGGUCUUCGCAAACGGAUGCAUUCUCGAAGGAGAAUGCCAAUCUUGGAAUCUAUGCCUUGGUCGGGACAGUUGCUUGCAAUUUUUCGACUCGAACCAGGAAUUCCUUGUAAUCGUGAUUCAUCACAUCACGAUGAAUACGUCCCUGCCCUUUGUACACACCGCCCGUCGCUCCUACCGAUCGAAGAGUUAGGUGAAUUGUUUUGAUCGAUAAGAUUUGACUAUGGUCAACUCUCGUUGUGAAAUUCUGAGAAUCUGACUGUUUAGAGGAAGGAAAAGUCGUAACA
This 319-nucleotide ribosomal RNA is filed under the name uncultured eukaryote. RNAcentral describes it as "partial 18S ribosomal RNA". It matches the Rfam family "Eukaryotic small subunit ribosomal RNA", at positions 1470 to 1796 of the family's 1831-position model. The record is from RNAcentral.